RNAcentral lists this ribosomal RNA (207 nucleotides) under uncultured bacterium. RNAcentral describes it as "partial 16S ribosomal RNA". It matches the Rfam family "Bacterial small subunit ribosomal RNA", at positions 568 to 774 of the family's 1533-position model. The record is from RNAcentral.
CACGUAGGCGGCUAUUCAAGUCGGGGGUGAAAUCCCGGGGCUCAACCUCGGAACUGCCUUCGAAACUGGAUGGCUUGAGUACCGGAGAGGGUGGCGGAAUUCCAGGUGUAGGAGUGAAAUCCGUAGAUAUCUGGAGGAACACCGGUGGCGAAGGCGGCCACCUGGACGGUAACUGACGCUGAGGUGCGAAAGCGUGGGUAGCAAACA